RNAcentral lists this ribosomal RNA (398 nucleotides) under uncultured bacterium. RNAcentral describes it as "bacterial SSU rRNA". It matches the Rfam family "Bacterial small subunit ribosomal RNA", at positions 30 to 429 of the family's 1533-position model. The record is from RNAcentral.
AUUGAACGCUGGCGGCAUGCCUUACACAUGCAAGUCGAACGGCAGCACGGGAGCUUGCUCCUGGUGGCGAGUGGCGAACGGGUGAGUAAUGCAUCGGAACGUGCCCUGAAGUGGGGGAUAACGUAGCGAAAGUUACGCUAAUACCGCAUAUUCUGUGAGCAGGAAAGCAGGGGAUCUUCGGACCUUGCGCUUUUGGAGCGGCCGAUGUCGGAUUAGCUAGUCGGUGGGGUAAAGGCCCACCAAGGCGACGAUCCGUAGCGGGUCUGAGAGGAUGAUCCGCCACACUGGAACUGAGACACGGUCCAGACUCCUACGGGAGGCAGCAGUGGGGAAUUUUGGACAAUGGGCGGAAGCCUGAUCCAGCCAUGCCGCGUGAGUGAAGAAGGCCUCGGUGUAAG